GAUGAACGCUGGCGGCGUGCCUAAUACAUGCAAGUCGAGCGAACAGACGAGGAGCUUGCUCCUCUGACGUUAGCGGCGGACGGGUGAGUAACACGUGGAUAACCUACCUAUAAGACUGGGAUAACUUCGGGAAACCGGAGCUAAUACCGGAUAAUAUAUUGAACCGCAUGGUUCAAUAGUGAAAGACGGUUUUGCUGUCACUUAUAGAUGGAUCCGCGCCGCAUUAGCUAGUCGGUAAGGUAACGGCUUACCAAGGCAACGAUGCGUAGCCGACCUGAGAGGGUGAUCGGCCACACUGGAACUGAGACACGGUCCAGACUCCUACGGGAGGCAGCAGUAGGGAAUCUUCCGCAAUGGGCGAAAGCCUGACGGAGCAACGCCGCGUGAGUGAUGAAGGUCUUCGGAUCGUAAAACUCUGUUAUUAGGGAAGAACAAAUGUGUAAGUAACUAUGCACGUCUUGACGGUACCUAAUCAGAAAGCCACGGCUAUCUACGUG
RNAcentral lists this ribosomal RNA (497 nucleotides) under uncultured bacterium. Its description in RNAcentral is "partial 16S ribosomal RNA". It matches the Rfam family "Bacterial small subunit ribosomal RNA", at positions 28 to 507 of the family's 1533-position model. The record is from RNAcentral.